This 243-nucleotide ribosomal RNA is filed under the name Triticum aestivum (bread wheat). RNAcentral describes it as "partial small subunit ribosomal RNA". Lineage: Eukaryota; Viridiplantae; Streptophyta; Magnoliopsida; Poales; Poaceae. The record is from RNAcentral.
AUGCGGGGAAACUUGCACGUGUGGUUCUGGCCGGGGACCCCGAUAUGGUCCGGUAUUCCCUUGUUCCCUGUAUUGGUUAUGUUCCUUAUUCCUCGUCUAGCAGAAACUAAUCGAGCUCCGUCUGAUCUCCUAGAAGAGGAAGCUGAAUUAGUUGCAGGCUAUAAUGUAGAAUAUGCGCGGGAUGCGAUCCUUAAUAGUUCACUGUUGGCGGAAGCCAAUGUCUCGGGGACUCAUUCUGACUGA